UUUAAAUUGAUUUUAAUUGGUUAAGUGUUUUUAAACUCUGUCAAAAUUCGGUGCAUUUAAACUGUUUUAAAUUAUUUUUAUUAUUUCUCUGUUUUAUUGUGGUUUCUCUUUAUUUUUAAAUUCUUUUUGAUAAUGACAAAUGGGAAGAAAGUUCAUGGAGUAUUUAAGAAGAGAUUAAUUCACCUGAACAAAGCAGUUUCUACCAAAACAACUUCUGAGUUUUAAAGCUUUAAGUUAUUUAUAUUUUUAGUAAUUUAUCUUACUGGACUUAAAUGAUUA
RNAcentral lists this long non-coding RNA (279 nucleotides) under Lathyrus oleraceus (garden pea). RNAcentral's name for it is "Pisum sativum (pea) long non-coding RNA (PSAT_LNC003595)". Lineage: Eukaryota; Viridiplantae; Streptophyta; Magnoliopsida; Fabales; Fabaceae. The record is from RNAcentral.